Molecule: ribosomal RNA, 376 nt
Filed under: Mantidactylus opiparis
Lineage: Eukaryota; Metazoa; Chordata; Amphibia; Anura; Mantellidae
Description: partial 16S ribosomal RNA
Rfam family: Bacterial large subunit ribosomal RNA
Source: RNAcentral
AAGAAGCGGGGAUACUCCUAUAAGACGAAAAGACCCCAUGGAGCUUCAAACCCAACUACACCCUUAACUACCACAACCGCACAACCUCUUAGGGCCCUGUAUAGUUGGUUUUAGGUUGGGGCGACCACGGAGUACAACCAAACCUCCGCAAUGGACGGGACCACUCCCUUAUCUAAGAGCCACACCUCUAAGAAUUAAAACACUAACAUAAAAUGAUCCAUGAUCUGAUCAAUGAACCAAGUUACCCUGGGGAUAACAGCGCAAUCCAUUUCAAGAGCCCUUAUCGACAAGUGGGUUUACGACCUCGAUGUUGGAUCAGGGUAUCCUAGUGGUGCAGCAGCUACUAAUGGUUCGUUUGUUCAACGAUUAAAACCCU